This 497-nucleotide ribosomal RNA is filed under the name uncultured bacterium. Its description in RNAcentral is "partial 16S ribosomal RNA". It matches the Rfam family "Bacterial small subunit ribosomal RNA", at positions 28 to 507 of the family's 1533-position model. The record is from RNAcentral.
GAUGAACGCUGGCGGCGUGCCUAAUACAUGCAAGUCGAGCGAACAGACGAGGAGCUUGCUCCUCUGACGUUAGCGGCGGACGGGUGAGUAACACGUGGAUAACCUACCUAUAAGACUGGGAUAACUUCGGGAAACCGGAGCUAAUACCGGAUAAUAUAUUGAACCGCAUGGUUCAAUAGUGAAAGACGGUUUUGCUGUCACUUAUAGAUGGAUCCGCGCCGCAUUAGCUAGUUGGUAAGGUAACGGCUUACCAAGGCAACGAUGCGUAGCCGACCUGAGAGGGUGAUCGGCCACACUGGACCUGAGACACGGUCCAGACUCCUACGGGAGGCAGCAGUAGGGAAUCUUCCGCAAUGGGCGAAAGCCUGACGGAGCAACGCCGCGUGAGUGAUGAAGGUCUUCGGAUCGUAAAACUCUGUUAUUAGGGAAGAACAAAUGUGUAAGUAACUAUGCACGUCUUGACGGUACCUAAUCAGAAAGCCACGGCUAACUACGUG